AUGUCUCACAAUUCCAAGUUUAGAAUGUGCAAUUCUGAUUGUUUUCUCGGAAUCACGAUUUCAUUUAUAAACUUGGAAUUGUGAGAAAUAAUGUCAGAAUUGUGAAAUAAAUACAUAAUUGUCAGAUAAAAAGUAGUAAUUACCUUCUUUUUUUUUUUUGCUUUUUAAUUAUGUGGCAAAAAAACAAUCAAGCUUCAAUAACAAUCAGAUUCAAAACUGCACAAAAAAAACCCCUCAGUAAUAAAGAGAACAAACCAAAUAACAUAACAAAAAAUAUUUUUACUAAAACUGAACAUUUACAGAUUUAAUUUUCCCAGACAAGUCAUACAUUUUCCACACCGGCCUAAACACAAAGCUUUACACGCACACUCGCACACGUUUCGUUUGUUUGGAGCACAACAGCGUCAGAGCAGGUUCUGUCAGAUAGGCCAUGAUUUAGACGGGUUCACCACAUGCUUUUAAUGAACUCAAGAGUUUCACAGGAAGGAAAAGGUAAAAAAAAAAAAAUUCACAUCAUUUUGUCCCUGACCGAGAAGCAGCA
Molecule: long non-coding RNA, 541 nt
Organism: Rhinichthys klamathensis goyatoka
Lineage: Eukaryota; Metazoa; Chordata; Actinopteri; Cypriniformes; Leuciscidae
Exons: 2
Source: RefSeq, a predicted model, not a curated record